CCUACGGGCGGCAGCAGUAGGGAAUAUUGCUCAAUGGGGGAAACCCUGAAGCAGCAACGCCGCGUGUAGGAUGAAGGUUUUAGGAUUGUAAACUCCUUUUGUGAGAGAAGAUAAUGAUGGUAUCUCACGCAUAAUCACCGGCUAACUCCGUGCCAGCAGCCGCGGUCAUACGGAGGGUGCAAGCGUUACUCGGAAUCACUGGUCGUAAAGUGUGCGCAGGCGGGCUUGUGAGUCAGAUGUGAAAUCCUGUAGCUUAACUACAGAACUGCAUCUGAAACUAUGAGUCUAGAGUGUGGGAGAGGUAGGUAGAAUUCUUGGUGUAGGGGUAAAAUCCGUAGAGAUCAAGAGGAAUACUCAUUGCGAAGGCGACCUACUGGAAAAUUACUGACGCUCAUGUACGAAAGCGUGGGGAGCAAACAGGAUCAGAUACCCUUGUAGUC
This 440-nucleotide ribosomal RNA is filed under the name uncultured bacterium. RNAcentral's name for it is "partial 16S ribosomal RNA". It matches the Rfam family "Bacterial small subunit ribosomal RNA", at positions 338 to 795 of the family's 1533-position model. The record is from RNAcentral.